Glycine soja is the source of this 713-nucleotide long non-coding RNA. RefSeq lists it as uncharacterized. Lineage: Eukaryota; Viridiplantae; Streptophyta; Magnoliopsida; Fabales; Fabaceae. The transcript is spliced from 2 exons. The record is from RefSeq and is a predicted model, not a curated record.
UCAUUUUAUUUGCAGAGACAUCCCCUGGAGAGCAAGUAUGUGAGUAAAACCAUGAUUUCCUCAAAAUUAAUCCCAACCAAACAUGCAUUCAGCAAGUAUUUUCUACUCUUUUGUCAAGGAUUUUAUAGCACCAAAUGCAGUUGUCAUCCAUGAUGACUCGCCUAGCGAGCGCAAGUGCAUAGACAAGGCCACAUGGCAGUUCAAGAGAGAAAGAAAAGUGUCAAGUCAUCUGAAGAACUCGCCUAGCGAGUACAAACUCGACUAGUGAGUAAAGGACACUGAAGUAGGAAAAGAAUUGUAGAAAUUCAAUUAUUGAAGAACUCGCCUAGCGAGGAGAAACUCGACCAACGAGUAAAUGCCACUAAGUGAAGAAAAGACAUUCAGAAUUCUAAUUGUCAAAGAAUUCGCCUAGCGAGUUGAAGCUUGCCAAGUGAGUAGACCACACUUUGAAGUGACGAGAGAAAGGCCUUGGGCUCGAUAUAAAAGGACAUUCUCUUAGGAUUGCAAGGGAGGGCAUAAACCUAGGGUUGUGCGCGGCAAUUGGAGCUCCCAUCUACCUCUAUCUUCCAUUUUCAUCCAUUUUCCUUCAUUUUGUAAUUUUGAGGUCUCUCAUGACAAUGAGAGGCUAGUUCAUCCGUUGCUGGGGGAUUGGUGUACUGAGCUACUCUCAUGUAAUUAAUCUUUCUAUUUAUUCAGUAUCAUUUCCUAUGUUA